This 497-nucleotide ribosomal RNA is filed under the name uncultured bacterium. RNAcentral describes it as "partial 16S ribosomal RNA". It matches the Rfam family "Bacterial small subunit ribosomal RNA", at positions 28 to 507 of the family's 1533-position model. The record is from RNAcentral.
GAUGAACGCCGGCGGCGUGCCUAAUACAUGCAAGUCGAGCGAACAGACGAGGAGCUUGCUCCUCUGACGUUAGCGGCGGACGGGUGAGUAACACGUGGAUAACCUACCUAUAAGACUGGGAUAACUUCGGGAAACCGGAGCUAAUACCGGAUAAUAUAUUGAACCGCAUGGUUCAAUAGUGAAAGACGGUUUUGCUGUCACUUAUAGAUGGAUCCGCGCCGCAUUAGCUAGUUGGUAAGGUAACGGCUUACCAAGGCGACGAUGCGUAGCCGACCUGAGAGGGUGAUCGGCCACACUGGAACUGAGACACGGUCCAGACUCCUACGGGAGGCAGCAGUAGGGAAUCUCCCGCAAUGGGCGAAAGCCUGACGGAGCAACGCCGCGUGAGUGAUGAAGGUCUUCGGAUCGUAAAACUCUGUUAUUAGGGAAGAACAAAUGUGUAAGUAACUAUGCACGUCUUGACGGUACCUAAUCAGAAAGCCACGGCUAACUACGUG